UGGGGAAUAUUGGACAAUGGGCGAAAGCCUGAUCCAGCCAUGCCGCGUGUGUGAAGAAGGUCUUCGGAUUGUAAAGUACUUUAAGUUGGGAGGAAGGGCAGUAAGCGAAUAACUUGCUGUUUUGACGUUACCGACAGAAUAAGAACCGGCUAACUCUGUGCCAGCAGCAGCGGUAAUACAGAGGGUGCAAGCGUUAAUCGGAAUUACUGGGCGUAAAGCGUGCGUAGGUGGUUCGUUAAGUUGAAUGUGAAAGCCCCGGGCUCAACCUUGGAACAGCAUCCAAAACUGGCGAGCUAGAGUAGGGCAGAGGGUGGUGGAAUUUCCUGUGUAGCGGUGAAAUGCGUAGAUAUAGGAAGGAACACCAGUGGCGAAGGCGACCACCAGGGCUCAUACUGACACUGAGGUGCGAAAGCGUGGGGAGCAAACAGG
Molecule: ribosomal RNA, 429 nt
Filed under: Pseudomonadota bacterium
Lineage: Bacteria; Pseudomonadati; Pseudomonadota
Description: Proteobacteria bacterium partial 16S ribosomal RNA
Rfam family: Bacterial small subunit ribosomal RNA
Source: RNAcentral